RNAcentral lists this ribosomal RNA (497 nucleotides) under uncultured bacterium. RNAcentral's name for it is "partial 16S ribosomal RNA". It matches the Rfam family "Bacterial small subunit ribosomal RNA", at positions 28 to 507 of the family's 1533-position model. The record is from RNAcentral.
GAUGAACGCUGGCGGCGUGCCUAAUACAUGCAAGUCGAGCGAACGGACGAGAAGCUUGCUUCUCUGAUGUUAGCGGCGGACGGGUGAGUAACACGUGGAUAACCUACCUAUAAGACUGGGAUAACUUCGGGAAACCGGAGCUAAUACCGGAUAAUAUUUUGAACCGCAUGGUUCAAAAGUGAAAGACGGUCUUGCUGUCACUUAUAGAUGUAUCCGCGCUGCAUUAGCUAGUUGGUAAGGUAACGGCUUACCAAGGCAACGAUGCAUAGCCGACCUGAGAGGGGGAUCGGCCACACUGGAACUGAGACACGGUCCAGACUCCUACGGGAGGCAGCAGUAGGGAAUCUUCCGCAAUGGGCGAAAGCCUGACGGAGCAACGCCGCGUGAGUGAUGAAGGUCUUCGGAUCGUAAAACUCUGUUAUUAGGGAAGAACAUAUGUGUAAGUAACUGUGCACAUCUUGACGGUACCUAAUCAGAAAGCCACGGCUAACUACGUG